GAGCGAUUAGUUCAAUUGGUAGAGCAUUUGUUUUACACACAAAAAGUUAAAGGUUCGAGACCUUUAUCGCUUA
This 73-nucleotide transfer RNA is filed under the name Hirsutella minnesotensis. Its description in RNAcentral is "tRNA-Val". It matches the Rfam family "tRNA". Rfam says of the family: Transfer RNA (tRNA) molecules are approximately 80 nucleotides in length. Their secondary structure includes four short double-helical elements and three loops (D, anti-codon, and T loops). Lineage: Eukaryota; Fungi; Ascomycota; Sordariomycetes; Hypocreales; Ophiocordycipitaceae. RNAcentral also lists the same sequence under 1 other name. The record is from RNAcentral.